This 336-nucleotide unclassified non-coding RNA is filed under the name soil metagenome. RNAcentral's name for it is "partial contains 5.8S ribosomal RNA, internal transcribed spacer 2, and large subunit ribosomal RNA". The stretch from base 1 to 120 matches the Rfam family "5.8S ribosomal RNA", at positions 35 to 154 of the family's 154-position model. The record is from RNAcentral.
GAUGAAGAACGUAGCGAAAUGCGAUAAGUAAUGUGAAUUGCAGAAUUCAGUGAAUCAUCGAAUCUUUGAACGCACAUUGCGCCCGCCAGUAUUCUGGCGGGCAUGCCUGUUCGAGCGUCAUUUCAACCAUCAAGCCCCCCGGCUUGUGUUGGGGACCUGCGGCUGCCGCAGGCCCUGAAAAGCAGUGGCGGGCUCGCUGUCACACCGAGCGUAGUAGAUCUCAUCUCGCUCAGGGCGUGCUGCGGGUUCCGGCCGUUAAACCACCUUCAUAACCCAAGGUUGACCUCGGAUCAGGUAGGAAGACCCGCUGAACUUAAGCAUAUCAAUAACGGAGGA